This 339-nucleotide ribosomal RNA is filed under the name Triticum aestivum (bread wheat). RNAcentral describes it as "partial small subunit ribosomal RNA". The record is from RNAcentral. Lineage: Eukaryota; Viridiplantae; Streptophyta; Magnoliopsida; Poales; Poaceae.
AUGCCGCGGCGCCCGAGGGCGGACGCGGCGUCGGCAGCGGCGAGCGGUGGCGGCGGGCGGAGGAAGAGGAUGGCGGUGGCGAGGCUGGGCGGCGAGGGAGGCGGCCGCGGCGGAUCGGCUGAGAGCCGGCGGAGGCUCUUCGGGGCGCUGCGGCGGGUGCGGGUGCGGUGGCUGGCGGCGCUGUACCGGAGGACGCUGCGGCGGCUGCGCGCGAGCUACGCUAGGGCCCUCCGCGAGCUAGUCGAGGGCAGGGCGCUCCUGGGCGCGCUCAACGCGCCCCCCGGCGUCGAAUGCUCCCGCGCCGCGUCGUUCGGGCCGAUGGCCACCGUCGGCUUCUGA